RNAcentral lists this small nuclear RNA (94 nucleotides) under Marmota marmota marmota (Alpine marmot). RNAcentral also lists the same sequence under 1 other name. The record is from RNAcentral. Lineage: Eukaryota; Metazoa; Chordata; Mammalia; Rodentia; Sciuridae.
GUGCAGCACAUAUACUAAAAUUGGAAUGAUAUAGAGAUUAGCAUGGCCUUUGCACAAGGACGAUGUGCAAAUUCAUGAAGUGUUCCAUAUUUUU